UGGGGAAUAUUGGACAAUGGGCGCAAGCCUGAUCCAGCCAUGCCGCGUGAGUGAUGAAGGCCCUAGGGUUGUAAAGCUCUUUCACCGGUGAAGAUAAUGACGGUAACCGGAGAAGAAGCCCCGGCUAACUUCGUGCCAGCAGCCGCGGUAAUACGAAGGGGGCUAGCGUUGUUCGGAUUUACUGGGCGUAAAGCGCACGUAGGCGGACUUUUAAGUCAGGGGUGAAAUCCCGGGGCUCAACCCCGGAACUGCCUUUGAUACUGGAAGUCUUGAGUAUGGUAGAGGGGAGUGGAAUUCCGAGUGUAGAGGUGAAAUUCGUAGAUAUUCGGAGGAACACCAGUGGCGAAGGCGGCUCACUGAACCAUUACUGACGCUGAGGUGCGAAAGCGUGGGGAGCAAACAGG
This 404-nucleotide ribosomal RNA is filed under the name Actinomycetes bacterium. RNAcentral describes it as "Actinobacteria bacterium partial 16S ribosomal RNA". It matches the Rfam family "Bacterial small subunit ribosomal RNA", at positions 355 to 776 of the family's 1533-position model. The record is from RNAcentral. Lineage: Bacteria; Bacillati; Actinomycetota; Actinomycetes.